UUCCGGUUGAUCCUGCCGGAGGACAUUGCUAUUGGGAUUCGAUUUAGCCAUGCUAGUCGGACGAGUUUAGACUCGUGGCGUAUAGCUCAGUAACACGUGGCCAAGCUACCCUUCAGUCGGCAAUACCCUCGGGAAACUGAGGUUAAUAGUCGAUGUGGGACGCCUGCUGGAAUGCAGCGUUCUCUAAAGGCGACGCUGAAGGAUGCGGCUGCGGCCGAUUAGGUUGACGGUGGGGUAACGGCCCACCGUGCCAGUAAUCGGUACGGGUGAUGAGAGUCAGAGCCCGGAGACGGAAUCUGAGACAAGAUUCCGGGCCCUACGGGGCGCAGCAGGCGCGAAACCUUUACACUGCACGGAAGUGCGAUAGGGGAAUCCCAAGUGCGAGGGCAUAUUCGCCCUCGCUUUUGUUGACCGUAAGGUGGUCGACGAAUAAGAGCUGGGCAAGACCGGUGCCAGCCGCCGCGGU
RNAcentral lists this ribosomal RNA (466 nucleotides) under uncultured archaeon. RNAcentral's name for it is "bacterial SSU rRNA". It matches the Rfam family "Archaeal small subunit ribosomal RNA", at positions 1 to 471 of the family's 1478-position model. The record is from RNAcentral.